UCAACUGAACUCACAUGAACCCGAUCGUGUUCAAACUGAUCUGCUCUUCCCGAGCAGAGCCAUUACAAUGUCGCCUUGGGCCUUGCUCUUUCUGCUGGCCGCCCACCUUGCGGCCGGCGAGCCCGCCUCCAUCACGACGCUCACCGCCACUCCGGCGAAGCUGACAAAACCAGACCACGCAGUCACCCUCCAAUGGUCCAACCUCCCCGACCCGAGCCCGCUCGACUACGUGGCCGUCUACUCCCCGCCGUCCUCCGGCGACCUCGACUACCUCGGCUUCCUCCUCCUCAACUCCUCCGCCUCCUGGGCCACGGGCGCCGGCAGCCUCACGCUCCCGCGCCUGCCCGACCUGCGCGCCCCCUACCAGUUCCGCCUCUUCCGGGGCCAGAACCCGCGCGUUGACCAGGAUGCCGACCCGCUCCCCGACGCCAGCCGCCGCGCCGCCGUCUCGGGCAACGUGGCCUACGAGGGAUCCGGCGCCCGGCCCGCCCAGCUGCACCUGGCGUUCACCGACGAAGUGGACGAGAUGCGGGUGCUGUUCGUGUGCGGCGACGGCGGGGAGAGGUCGGUGAGGUACGGGCCCGCCGGCCGGCGCGAGGAGGAGUGGGAGGAGGUGCCGGCGGAGGCGAGCACGUACGAGCGGCGCCACAUGUGCGGCUACCCGGCGAACCAUAGCGUCGGGUGGCGCCACCCCGGGUUCGUCUUCGACGGCGUCAUGAAGGGGCUGCAGCCUGGGUCAAGGUACUUCUACAAGGUUGGCAAUGAUCUAGGAGGUUGGAGUGAGACAUACAGCUUCAUCUCACGCGACACCGAGGCCAACGAGACCAUCGCAUUCCUCUUUGGUGAUCUGGGCACUUACGUUCCUUACAACACCUACUUUCGAACACCUCAAGAAAGUUUGUCAACUGUGAAAUGGAUUCUCCGUGAUCUCCAGGCCCUUAACGACAAACCUGCAGUCAUUUCACAUAUCGGUGACAUCAGCUACCCUAAGGGCUAUUCGUGGUUAUGGGAUCAUUUCUUCGAACAGAUUGAGCCUAUUGCUGCCAAUACACCAUACCAUGUCUGCAUUGGGAAUCAUGAGUACGACUGGCCUUCCCAACCUUGGAAACCCUCCUGGGCUGCAAACAUAUAUGGUGGGAAUGAUGCUGGCGGCGAAUGCGGAGUACCAUACAGCACCAAGUUCAAAAUGCCUGGAAAUUCUUCUCUCCCUACCAGCACCAUUGCUCCUGACACCCGGAAUCUCUACUACUCCUUUGACGCAGGUGUUGUUCAUUUUGUUUACAUGUCUACUGAGACUGACUUCACUCAUGGCAGUGAUCAAUACAACUAUAUAAAAGCCGACCUCGAGCGCCUCAACCGGAGUCGAACACCAUUUGUCGUGUUCCAGGGCCACCGUCCGAUGUACACCUCAAGCAACGAGUCCAAGGACACGGCUCACAGGGAGCAGAUGAUUCAGCAUCUGGAGCCUCUCUUUGUGAAACACGGCGUGACACUCGCUCUGUGGGGGCAUGUUCACUGGUAUGAGAGGUUUUGCCCCAUGAAGAACUAUCAGUGCCUUAACACUUCGUCGAGCUUCGUGUACCCUGGUGCUCCUGCGCAUGUUGUGAUCGGGAUGGCUGGGCAGGACUACCAAGCAAGCUGGGAACCGAGACCUGACCACCCUGAAGUCCCCAUAUUCCCUCAGCCGCAGAGGUCCAUGUACCGUGGUGCUGAAUUCGGGUACGCAAAACUUGUGGCCACAAGGGAGAAGUUGACACUGACAUACAUUGGUAACCAUGAUGGGCAAGUCCAUGACAUGGUUGAAAUAUUUUCGCCGCAAGUCGAUACCGACAGCGCACCUGAUAAGCUGGUCGGUGCGAUGCCGAAGAAGAUGAGAUACCUGGGAAUUGCCGGCAGCGUGAUGCUUGCGAUGCUGCUCGGAUUCAUGGCUGGCUUUGCUGUUAGAAGGAAGACGGACCCGGCACGAUGGAGUCCUGUACAAGAUGAGGAAUCCUAAUUACUUCACCCUUACUCGAUUGUGUUGAAGUGCAAGAGAUCUACCAAUGUUCCUGUUUCAACAACCUUUACUCGCUAUUUUGGGAAGUUUUUCUCCAAUGUGGUGAAAAAUGUAAUCCCAAUCAGGGCUACUAUAAUUUGCAAGGCCCCUUCAAGGUGUCACUGGAAUAGCUUGAUGCAUGUUUGUGUGUUUUUCUGUCAAAAGGAUUUCACAUUCCAACAGAACAAUACCCAUGGCUCUUCUUUUUGCUUGUUCUGUCAGAUUUCUUACUGUUGAACCUUAGCAAUGCUAGAGAGGAUUUUUUGACAGAACUAUUACUCAUGUGAUCUACUGUACUUUUCAGCCCUUGUUCCCCUAGAGAACUUCUGAGUAGUAAUGGGAUCUAACAAACAGAGCUAUCCUGUGACCAUGGAGUGAUGCUAGAGACACUUGUAAGGUUUAUAGCUGUAGUUUUAGCCGAUUGAUCUGUUUGAACCCGGGUCCUGUUCCAACCCGGUAAGGUUUGUUUGUGUGGAGUCAUUUAGCGUUGACAUAAGUACUGAGCAU
RNA transcript from Triticum aestivum (bread wheat), 2542 nucleotides. It is a transcript of the gene named probable inactive purple acid phosphatase 2, with no coding region annotated. Lineage: Eukaryota; Viridiplantae; Streptophyta; Magnoliopsida; Poales; Poaceae. The transcript has 4 exons. The record is from RefSeq and is a predicted model, not a curated record.